CACACCGCCCACCAAGGCCGCGGGCCCUGCGCGCCCGGGGCAGGCGGGCACACCCCGCACCCUCUCCGCCCGCCCGCCCCCGGCGCCCUUCGCAUUCCCUUCUUCGGCCCUGGCCCCUCGGACCGGAGCGCCCAGGCCAGCUCAGGGUGUUCCCGUGGGGGUCUCCGGGAACAAUGUAGAGACAGGGUUUCACCGUGUUAGCCAGGAUGGUCUCGAUCUCCUGACCUCGUGAUCUGCCCGCCUCAGUCUCCCAAAGUGCUGGGAUUACAGGUAGAGGACCUUUGGAGAUGUGAAUGAAAACAGCUGUCUGAACAAGUUGUACCCUAACUAGCGCGGCUGCGAGUCUGAAACUUGAAACGGGGAAGUUGGUCAGCAUGGGUGAAGCUAUGCAGCCCAGGUGAAGGGAUCCUCAAGCAGCAGCCUCUGCCUUUUUGUCCUCUCCUUUUCAUGGAGAUGACAAGAAUCACCCCGGGACUUAUCUUCUGAGGUGCUCAGCUGUGCUCCCAGAGCUGCUUUGGUCACUGCUAUGGCGGGUGGAAGCAGGAUGGGUGAAGUCAU
RNAcentral lists this long non-coding RNA (558 nucleotides) under Pongo abelii (Sumatran orangutan). RNAcentral describes it as "lincRNA". Lineage: Eukaryota; Metazoa; Chordata; Mammalia; Primates; Hominidae. The record is from RNAcentral.